CCUACGGGUGGCUGCAGUGAGGAAUAUUGGUCAAUGGACGCAAGUCUGAACCAGCCAUGCCGCGUGCGGGAAGACGGCUCUAUGAGUUGUAAACUGCUUUUGUACGAGGGUAAACGCAGAUACGCGUAUCUGUCUGAAAGUAUCUUACGAAUAAGGAUCGGCUAACUCCGUGCCAGCAGCCGCGGUAAUACGGAGGAUUCAAGCGUUAUCCGGAUUUAUUGGGUUUAAAGGGUGCGUAGGCGGUCGGUUAAGUUAGAGGUGAAAUCCCGAGGCUCAACGCCGUACAGCCGUUGAAACUGGCAGUCUUGAGUGGGCGAGAAGUAUGCGGAAUGCGUGGUGUAGCGGUGAAAUGCAUAGAUAUCACGCAGAACCCCGAUUGCGAAGGCAGCAUACCGGCGCCCGACUGACGCUGAGGCACGAAAGCGUGGGUAUCGAACAGGAUUAGAUACCCUUGUAGUC
RNAcentral lists this ribosomal RNA (459 nucleotides) under uncultured bacterium. RNAcentral's name for it is "partial 16S ribosomal RNA". It matches the Rfam family "Bacterial small subunit ribosomal RNA", at positions 338 to 795 of the family's 1533-position model. The record is from RNAcentral.